GUGCUUGCUCCUGCAGCCCAUAUGCUAAAUCUGGAACGAUACAGAGAAGAUUAGCAGGGCUCUGCACAAGGAUGACAUGUAGAUUCAUGAAACAGUCCAUAUAUUU
RNAcentral lists this small nuclear RNA (106 nucleotides) under Zalophus californianus (California sea lion). Lineage: Eukaryota; Metazoa; Chordata; Mammalia; Carnivora; Otariidae. RNAcentral also lists the same sequence under 2 other names. The record is from RNAcentral.